GAUGAACGCUGGCGGCGUGCCUAAUACAUGCAAGUCGAGCGAACGGACGAGAAGCUUGCUUCUCUGAUGUUAGCGGCGGACGGGUGAGUAACACGUGGAUAACCUACCUAUAAGACUGGGAUAACUUCGGGAAACCGGAGCUAAUACCGGAUAAUAUUUUGAACCGCAUGGUUCAAAAGUGAAAGACGGUCUUGCUGUCACUUAUAGAUGGAUCCGCGCUGCAUUAGCUAGUUGGUAAGGUAACGGCUUACCAAGGCAACGAUGCAUAGCCGACCUGAGAGGGUGAUCGGCCACACGGGAACUGAGACACGGUCCAGACUCCUACGGGAGGCAGCAGUAGGGAACCUUCCGCAAUGGGCGAAAGCCUGACGGAGCAACGCCGCGUGAGUGAUGAAGGUCUUCGGAUCGUAAAACUCUGUUAUUAGGGAAGAACAUAUGUGUAAGUAACUGUGCACAUCUUGACGGUACCUAAUCAGAAAGCCACGGCUAACUACGUG
Molecule: ribosomal RNA, 497 nt
Filed under: uncultured bacterium
Lineage: Bacteria
Description: partial 16S ribosomal RNA
Rfam family: Bacterial small subunit ribosomal RNA
Source: RNAcentral